This 2236-nucleotide ribosomal RNA is filed under the name Salmonella enterica. RNAcentral's name for it is "partial 23S ribosomal RNA". It matches the Rfam family "Bacterial large subunit ribosomal RNA", at positions 711 to 2925 of the family's 2925-position model. Lineage: Bacteria; Pseudomonadati; Pseudomonadota; Gammaproteobacteria; Enterobacterales; Enterobacteriaceae. RNAcentral also lists the same sequence under 1 other name. The record is from RNAcentral.
AGACCCGAAACCCGGUGAUCUAGCCAUGGGCAGGUUGAAGGUUGGGUAACACUAACUGGAGGACCGAACCGACUAAUGUUGAAAAAUUAGCGGAUGACCUGUGGCUGGGGGUGAAAGGCCAAUCAAACCGGGAGAUAGCUGGUUCUCCCCGAAAGCUAUUUAGGUAGCGCCUCGUGAAUUCAUCUCCGGGGGUAGAGCACUGUUUCGGCUAGGGGGCCAUCCCGGCUUACCAACCCGAUGCAAACUGCGAAUACCGGAGAAUGUUAUCACGGGAGACACACGGCGGGUGCUAACGUCCGUCGUGAAGAGGGAAACAACCCAGACCGCCAGCUAAGGUCCCAAAGUCAUGGUUAAGUGGGAAACGAUGUGGGAAGGCCCAGACAGCCAGGAUGUUGGCUUAGAAGCAGCCAUCAUUUAAAGAAAGCGUAAUAGCUCACUGGUCGAGUCGGCCUGCGCGGAAGAUGUAACGGGGCUAAACCAUGCACCGAAGCUGCGGCAGCGACACUGUGUGUUGUUGGGUAGGGGAGCGUUCUGUAAGCCUGUGAAGGUGUGUCGUGAGGCAUGCUGGAGGUAUCAGAAGUGCGAAUGCUGACAUAAGUAACGAUAAAGCGGGUGAAAAGCCCGCUCGCCGGAAGACCAAGGGUUCCUGUCCAACGUUAAUCGGGGCAGGGUGAGUCGACCCCUAAGGCGAGGCCGAAAGGCGUAGUCGAUGGGAAACGGGUUAAUAUUCCCGUACUUGGUGUUACUGCGAAGGGGGGACGGAGAAGGCUAUGUUGGCCGGGCGACGGUUGUCCCGGUUUAAGCGUGUAGGUGUGUGUUCCAGGUAAAUCCGGUUCACUUUAACACUGAGGCGUGACGACGAGGCACUACGGUGCUGAAGCAACAAAUGCCCUGCUUCCAGGAAAAGCCUCUAAGCAUCAGGUAACAUCAAAUCGUACCCCAAACCGACACAGGUGGUCAGGUAGAGAAUACCAAGGCGCUUGAGAGAACUCGGGUGAAGGAACUAGGCAAAAUGGUGCCGUAACUUCGGGAGAAGGCACGCUGACACGUAGGUGAAGUGAUUUACUCAUGGAGCUGAAGUCAGUCGAAGAUACCAGCUGGCUGCAACUGUUUAUUAAAAACACAGCACUGUGCAAACACGAAAGUGGACGUAUACGGUGUGACGCCUGCCCGGUGCCGGAAGGUUAAUUGAUGGGGUCAGCGCAAGCGAAGCUCCUGAUCGAAGCCCCGGUAAACGGCGGCCGUAACUAUAACGGUCCUAAGGUAGCGAAAUUCCUUGUCGGGUAAGUUCCGACCUGCACGAAUGGCGUAAUGAUGGCCAGGCUGUCUCCACCCGAGACUCAGUGAAAUUGAACUCGCUGUGAAGAUGCAGUGUACCCGCGGCAAGACGGAAAGACCCCGUGAACCUUUACUAUAGCUUGACACUGAACAUUGAGCCUUGAUGUGUAGGAUAGGUGGGAGGCUUUGAAGUGUGGACGCCAGUCUGCAUGGAGCCGACCUUGAAAUACCACCCUUUAAUGUUUGAUGUUCUAACGUGGACCCGUUACCCGGGUUGCGGACAGUGUCUGGUGGGUAGUUUGACUGGGGCGGUCUCCUCCUAAAGAGUAACGGAGGAGCACGAAGGUUGGCUAAUCCUGGUCGGACAUCAGGAGGUUAGUGCAAUGGCAUAAGCCAGCUUGACUGCGAGCGUGACGGCGCGAGCAGGUGCGAAAGCAGGUCAUAGUGAUCCGGUGGUUCUGAAUGGAAGGGCCAUCGCUCAACGGAUAAAAGGUACUCCGGGGAUAACAGGCUGAUACCGCCCAAGAGUUCAUAUCGACGGCGGUGUUUGGCACCUCGAUGUCGGCUCAUCACAUCCUGGGGCUGAAGUAGGUCCCAAGGGUAUGGCUGUUCGCCAUUUAAAGUGGUACGCGAGCUGGGUUUAGAACGUCGUGAGACAGUUCGGUCCCUAUCUGCCGUGGGCGCUGGAGAACUGAGGGGGGCUGCUCCUAGUACGAGAGGACCGGAGUGGACGCAUCACUGGUGUUCGGGUUGUCAUGCCAAUGGCACUGCCCGGUAGCUAAAUGCGGAAGAGAUAAGUGCUGAAAGCAUCUAAGCACGAAACUUGCCCCGAGAUGAGUUCUCCCUGAGACUUAAAGUCUCCUGAAGGAACGUUGAAGACGACGACGUUGAUAGGCCGGGUGUGUAAGCGCAGCGAUGCGUUGAGCUAACCGGUACUAAUGAACCGUGAGGCUUAACC